AAUUAUUUACAAGGGGUGCAAGCCUGAUCCAGCCAUGCCGCGUGAGUGAAGAAGGACUUCGGGUUGUAAAUCUCUUUCGGACGGAAGGAAAUCGCGCAGGCUAAUACCCUGCGUGGUUGAUGGUAGGUUCCUAAGAAGCACCGUCUAACUACGUGCCAGCAGCCGCCGUAAUAAGUAGGGUGUGGGCGAUAAUCGGAAGUAAUGGGUGUAAAGCAUGCGGAGGCGGUUGAUUAAGAAAGGCGUGAAAUCCCCGGGCUGAACCUGGGAACUGCGGUUGUGGCUAGUCAGCUAGAGUACGGCAGAGGGGGGUGGAAGUCCACGUGUAGCAGUGAAAUGCGUAGAGAUGUGGAGGAACACCGAUGGCGAAGGCAGCCCCCUGGGACGAUACUGACGCUCAUGCACGAAAGCGUGGGUAGCAAACAGG
This 424-nucleotide ribosomal RNA is filed under the name uncultured bacterium. RNAcentral describes it as "partial 16S ribosomal RNA". It matches the Rfam family "Bacterial small subunit ribosomal RNA", at positions 359 to 776 of the family's 1533-position model. The record is from RNAcentral.